GAUGAACGCUGGCGGCGUGCCUAAUACAUGCAAGUCGAGCGAACGGACGAGAAGCUUGCUUCUCUGAUGUUAGCGGCGGACGGGUGAGUAACACGUGGAUAACCUACCUAUAAGACUGGGAUAACUUCGGGAAACCGGAGCUAAUACCGGCUAAUAUUUUGAACCGCAUGGUUCAAAAGUGAAAGACGGUCUUGCUGUCACUUAUAGAUGGAUCCGCGUUGCAUUAGCUAGUUGGUAAGGUAACGGCUUACCAAGGCAACGAUGCAUAGCCGACCUGAGAGGGUGAUCGGCCACACUGGAACUGAGACACGGUCCAGACUCCUACGGGAGGCAGCAGUAGGGAAUCUUGCGCAAUGGGCGAAAGCCUGACGGAGCAACGCCGCGUGAGUGAUGAAGGUCUUCGGAUCGUAAAACUCUGUUAUUAGGGAAGAACAUAUGUGUAAGUAACUGUGCACAUCUUGACGGUACCUAAUCAGAAAGCCACGGCUAACUCCGUG
This 497-nucleotide ribosomal RNA is filed under the name uncultured bacterium. RNAcentral's name for it is "partial 16S ribosomal RNA". It matches the Rfam family "Bacterial small subunit ribosomal RNA", at positions 28 to 507 of the family's 1533-position model. The record is from RNAcentral.